Long non-coding RNA from Dinoponera quadriceps, 203 nucleotides. RefSeq lists it as uncharacterized. The record is from RefSeq and is a predicted model, not a curated record. The transcript has 2 exons. NCBI's taxonomy places the organism in Eukaryota, Metazoa, Arthropoda, Insecta, Hymenoptera, Formicidae.
UGAGAUUGCUGGCACUGUUCGAGCGACAGCGAAGAAGCGCAAAAUCGCUCCGUGGCACUCAAACGGUUUAUUUGUGGUUUAUAAUUGGACAACAUUACACAAUACUAUUUGCAUGAUGUCAAACACAAAAGAAACAAGGAAAGGAUUAAAAAGAAAGUUUAUAUCUCUUGAAGAUAAAAUCCAAAUUUUAAAUCGUUUAGAAG